Molecule: ribosomal RNA, 253 nt
Filed under: uncultured bacterium
Lineage: Bacteria
Description: partial 16S ribosomal RNA
Rfam family: Bacterial small subunit ribosomal RNA
Source: RNAcentral
UACGUAGGGUGCAGGCGUUAAUCGGAAUUACUGGGCGUAAAGCGUGCGCAGGCGGUCUUUUAAGUCAGACGUGAAAUCCCCGGGCUUAACCUGGGAACUGCGUUUGAAACUGGAAGGCUUGAGUGUGGCAGAGGGGGGUGGAAUUCCACGUGUAGCAGUGAAAUGCGUAGAGAUGUGGAGGAACACCGAUGGCGAAGGCAGCCCCCUGGGCUAACACUGACGCUCAUGCACGAAAGCGUGGGGAGCAAACAGG